AUGAGUUCGUCGGAGGAGAAGACGUCGUGGCCGGAGGUGGUGGGGCUGCCCGUCGAGGAGGCCAAGGCGAUCAUCCUCCGCGACAAGCCUGGCGCUGACAUCCUCGUCCUUCCCGUCGGCUCCAGCAGCGACACGCAGUUCAUCGCCAACCGCGUCCGCAUCUUCGUCAACGGCACCACCGUCGCCGAGACUCCCAUUGUUGGCUAG
RNAcentral lists this ribosomal RNA (207 nucleotides) under Triticum aestivum (bread wheat). Its description in RNAcentral is "partial small subunit ribosomal RNA". Lineage: Eukaryota; Viridiplantae; Streptophyta; Magnoliopsida; Poales; Poaceae. The record is from RNAcentral.